This 540-nucleotide ribosomal RNA is filed under the name uncultured Bacillota bacterium. RNAcentral describes it as "bacterial SSU rRNA". It matches the Rfam family "Bacterial small subunit ribosomal RNA", at positions 107 to 647 of the family's 1533-position model. Lineage: Bacteria; Bacillati; Bacillota. The record is from RNAcentral.
UGAGUAACGCGUAGACAACCUGCCUCUAAACUGGGGACAACACCGCGAAAGUGGUGCUAAUACCGAAUGUGGUAACUUGGCCGCAUGGCUGAGUUAAGAAAGAUGGCCUCUUAGCAAUGCUAUCGUUUAGAGAUGGGUCUGCGUCUGAUUAGCUAGUUGGUGAGGUAAAGGCUCACCAAGGCGACGAUCAGUAGCCGGUCUGAGAGGAUGAACGGCCACACUGGGACUGAGACACGGCCCAGACUCCUACGGGAGGCAGCAGUGGGGAAUCUUCCGCAAUGGACGAAAGCCUGACCCAGCGACGCCGCGUGGGGGAAGAAGUCUUUCGGGAUGUAAACCCUUGUUGUACGGGACGAAGGAAGUGACGGUACCGUACGAGGAAGCCCCGGCAAACUACGUGCCAGCAGCCGCGGUAAUACGUAGGGGGCGAGCGUUGUCCGGAAUCACUGGGCGUAAAGCGCACGUAGGCGGGCUGUCAAGUCGGCCGUGAAAGGCAUGGGCUCAACCUGUGCAUGUCGGUCGAUACUGGCGGUCUGGAGU